ACUUGUAGAGCAAGUUGUUCAUUUCUUUGGUCCAUACAAUAAUUGCAAUCCGUACGUGUCCCCUCACACCUUCAAUUUAUGCAUUCAAAAUCUUAUUAUAAAUACAGCCCAAAAAUGCAUUAGUUUCUUCAUCCCUCAAUUUUCAUAUUUCAUAAGUACUAAGCUUUGAAACAAAAAUAAAAGAAUUAAGAAGAAUGGGUUCCAAGGCAAUUAUGUUUCUUGGUCUUUUUUUGGCUAUUUUCUUAAUGAUAAGCUCUGAGGUUGCAGCUAGGGAGUUGGCAGCUGAGACUUCCAAUGGUAAGCAUUUCUUUUCAUUUGUUCCCUCUCUUAGGGUAUGUUCGAUAAAAAAAAAUAUUUUUCAUGAAAAAUAUUUUGUAAGAAAAUAUAAGUGACUUCUUUAUUUACUUUUUUGUGUUCAAUAUCGUGAUAUAAUCUAGACAGAUAUAUAAUUGGUGGGGUUGGAUGGUGACGGUGGGAUGAAGAUGGGGCGAAGAUAAAUAUGUUUGAUCAUAAAAUUUGUCUACUUUUUGAAAAUUAUUUGAAACAAAAUCCCAAAAUUUCAAUCACUAAUGCUGUAGUUUGAUCAUGACACUUAAUAUAUAUUCUUUUUGUUUCAUGUUAUACGUCUCAAUUACUAUGCAUAAAGUAUAAGAAUAUACCAUAAACUUCCCAAACUUUGCUAAACUAAACUAAAGGUAUGUAAAUUAUAUUAUAAAUGCCCUAUGAGUUUUGUGAUCUUAUGUUACAUUGAAAUUAAAAAAAUUACAAUUAAAUAUAUAUAGGAAGAGGAGUACUCAUUUUGAAAUAUAAUAAAAAGGAAAGUACGACAUAUAAAUUGAAGUGCAAUUCAAAGACUAGUAAUGACUCAUCGUACGUGUUAGCUAGUUUAAUUAAUCUUCACAAUUCAUCGAUGCAGCGGUAAACGUUGAUGGACAUUAUUAUGGAGGCGGCUAUGGUAAGGGCCAUGGAAAACCUAAGAAAUGUUAUAGUUGCUGCAAGAAAUACAAAUAUGGAUGCAAAAAAUACUGCUGCUCUUAUGAAGAAUAUGUGGCUGCCCAGACUCACAACUAAAUAAUUAAUUAUUAUUGUAAACUUUUGAAAUUAAGUGACAAGAUACUAAUAAUCUUGCUACUUAAGACCCUUUGCUUGUAACAAGUAUGAAUAAAGCCAUUCAUUUACAAUGAAUGGUUGGUCAUGAUGUAAUGUUUUGUUGUACAAUAUAUCAUAUUGUGUUAAAAAUGUUUCCCUAAUGUUAAGAUUUUCUUCUUAUUUUUACUUAAGUAUUCUAUCAUCCCUUAAUCAUAUGUUUCAAGAUUGAAUCCUGGUCCGAAUAUAGAAUUGUCUUUGUUACAUAGUAUUUUACUCUAUUUGAAUUUUUUACCGUGAAUCCAAUUUAUUUAAGGCAUCUCUAAUUAAGGAUAUUGAACAUUGAGGGGAAAUUUUAAAAUAUUUAAUUUUCUUGUUAUUUAAUAAAGUAAGGAAAACAAUGCAGAAAAAAAGAAACAAUUUGUUCUUUUCUUUGUAUAAUAUUUAAAAAAAUAUAAUCACAGAAGAAAUAAAAUUAAAGCAUGGGGGACAAACGACUAAUAAUGUCAAAUCAUCACUUAUUUUUUUAUUUCUAAUGAACACUUUAGUCAGGGCUGAAAUCGAAAUUUUAUGAAAACAUCACAACAUAUAAACAAAAAUGAACACAUGAGUAAAUUUUAAUGAUUCAAUAUAUGAUACAAUGUAGUAGCUUUUUUCGACGAAGGAGAGUCAAUUAACAAUAUUAGAUAAGGAUGGUUACAUCAUUAAUAUUCACGAUCACCAUUAAGGGCGUAUUUACCUUAAGCUCGCAAUAUAUAUAUGCAACGUCAACCAAAUAACUCACAUUAGGGGUGUACAAAAAUGAACCGAAAACCGAAUUAAACCGCAAAUCGAGAAAAAAAAAUCCGACUAGUGGUUGGUUUGACUUGGUUUGGUAUUGAAAAAAAAACCCAACUAUAUUUGGGUUGGUUUGGUUUUAACUAAAAAAAACCAACCCGAGACCAAACCAACACGUCAUUAUAUAUAUAAUUUUAAAAUUUAUUUUAUAUUUUAUACAUAAAAAUAUUUACUUUGAAAUAAUUUUUAAAUCUUUCUUAUACUUUUUCAUAGUUUUUAUCUUUUAAUAUAUUAUUNNNNNNNNNNNNNNNNNNNNNNNNNNNNNNNNNNNNNNNNNNNNNNNNNNNNNNNNNNNNNNNNNNNNNNNNNNNNNNNNNNNNNNNNNNNNNNNNNNNNNNNNNNNNNNNNNNNNNNNNNNNNNNNNNNNNNNNNNNNNNNNNNNNNNNNNNNNNNNNNNNNNNNNNNNNNNNNNNNNNNNNNNNNNNNNNNNNNNNNNNNNNNNNNNNNNNNNNNNNNNNNNNNNNNNNNNNNNNNNNNNNNNNNNNNNNNNNNNNNNNNNNNNNNNNNNNNNNNNNNNNNNNNNNNNGAAAACAAAAAUACAGAAUGAUUAUUAUGAAAAAAAUAAGUGAACAAAUGGGGUUCUUUUGUAUAUUUUAUUUUUUGUUAUUGCUGAAUUUGCCGAACUUUUACAGCUUGUUUGAGUACUUGUUACCUAUAUAGUUGUAUUUUGGUGGCGAAAUGGUCUAAUAGACCCCUGUACUUGUAUGAGUUUGUAUUGUGAACCCUUCUACUUAACUCUUUAUCAAUUGAACCCUUAAACUUAUAAAACACAAUUUAUCAAACCCCUCUGACCAUUGACUAGGCUUAUGUGGCAUCAAUAUGGUUGAGUUGGCAAGAGUGUGUGAAUUCACUCUCGUUAAGGCGAGUGAUAUCCUAUUUAAGUUUUAAAAAAUAUUAAAAAAUUAAAAAAAAAUAAAACAAUAAAACAAAAAAACUUUAAAAAAAAUAACUAAAAAAGGCUUUCUUCUUCCGCCAACAGGUUCACAUCCAUUUUUGGCCAUCUCCAUCCCUGUCCAAUCCAUUUUUCUUUCUUCUUCACACUCUUGUCAUCUUCUUUAGCAGAUCUUCGCAUUGGCACCUAGAGAGAGACGACGCAGGUCAGUGGAAGAAGAACGAGGCGGUUGAGGGUAGGAUCUGGUCACGACAGCGAAGAGGUUUUUCGGUCAGAUCUGGUGGCCAUGGUGCGACGGAGAUGAAGACGGGUGAGGAAGAGGGCACGUAUGGUCGCCGGCAAGAGUUGCGACGACGACUGAGACGGCGGCGAGGAGCCUCCUAGAAUAUUUGUAUGCCGGAGACAGUAAGGGGUUUCUUGGCCUUCUGAUACUCCGGAGAGGAUGAAGAGCAUAUCGGUCGGUGAUGGUGAGGGGAGAGAAGCUAGUGCGGUGGCUUAGGGUUUCUAGAUUUGUGGAGGUUAGAGAAGGAGAAAAGAAAAUGGUAAGGGUGUGCGAUGAAGAUGGAGGUUGGUGGGGAGAUCGUAUUUGUGGUCUCGCCGGCAAGAGGAGCGGCAACAGCAGCGACUUUUUCCGACAGUUGGGCCAUUUCACGGUGAAAAUGGAAGAUGAUGUGAGGAGACCCAAACUUUUAAUUUAAAAUAAUAAAUUAAAAUUUAAUUUGUCAAAAUUACAUCAAAACUUUAUGAUUUUUCUUUUGUUAAAAAAGAAAUUAUUAUAUAAAAAAAAAAUGAUGUGGCAAAUUUUAUCUGACAUAGCGUAUGACAUUAGCGUGAUUGAGAAUCACGAUGAGUUGAAAGGGUUCAAUAGGUUGAGUUUAGAUGGGUUCAGGGGUCCAUAUGACAAAGAGGUAAGUAGAAGAAUUCACAAUACAAACGCAUACAAGUACAAGGGUCCACCAGAUCAUUUUGCCUAUUUUGGUAGGACUAAAGAAAUAUUUGAAGUACAAGUAAAUUAUAUGUUCGUAUGAAUACUUUACCGGAAAAACCCGAAAAAUCCGAGGUUGAAAAACCCGAGUUUUAUUGAUUUGGUUUGGUUUAUAGAUUUAAAAAUUCAACACAAAUGGUUGGAUUUGAUAAUUGAAAAAUCCGAACCAACCCGGUCAUGUACACCCCUAACUCACAUGAUUAUGAAUCAAGGAAAAGAAUAAAUAAUUUUCGUCAUGUUGUGCAAAAAUAUAUAUUUCUAAUCUUAUUAAUAUUAGGUUAGGGGGAAACCUUUUUUGGGUUAUUUAUUAUUUCUAUCUAUAUUUUGUGUAUAUAUAUAAAAAAAAAAUUGCAUAAUAUAUAAACGUAUCCUUUAAUUUGGUCUCAACUGACAUCUAGCCCUCCAACUUUGGAUGUGCACAAGUAGGGACUUAAACUUGUAUAGAGUUGAACAAGUAGACACACUAGUCCUACGUGACAUAAUACGCAUAGGACACCAUGUACGACACAAAUUAUCAUGUAGGACAUGUAUAUCUACUUGUUCUAUUAUAUAUAAACUUAAGUGUUUACCAUUAGUACACAUCCAAAAUUAAAGGUUAUAAAUAUCGAUUAAGGUCAAAAUAAAAUAAUAUUUUCAUGUAUUAUACUUGUUUUUUUAGAAGACUUUUCUUGAGUUAUAAAGCAAUAAAGAGAGUUGGCCCCUCUUAUUUAACUUGAUACGUUGUACAUUAAAAGAGUCAUUAAAUACGUCAUUUAAAGUCUUUGAGUAUUGACCAAAUCCAAGAGUAUAUAUACACCACUAUUUCUAGAUAUUUUAGGAUAAGGUAGUCCUACAAGUUAGCAUAUUUUAAAUUACUUUUUUGCAUAACUAUCCAAAAAUAUACUAUUAACACGACGAUUUAUUAUCGAAAUAUAUAAUACCCAUCACAUGCAUAUUAUUUUUUAAAGUUAUUUUAAUGUUUGAUUUUCUACUAAGUAUUAAUCUUUGUUUUUAGUUUGUUUUGUCGGAUGGUGUACGUAAGCCACUUGGUCAUAUUGAUGUGAUAUAUUUACAAAUAUUUUUUCGAAAAAAUAAGUAAAUUUUUAUCUAUUCUUAUGUUUUUUUAUAGGGAAAAAGUCUGAAAUAUAUUCGAACUUUAGCCAUUCUACUUAAUUUUACUAAUGGUGUUAUAGUAUUAACGUAUGUACUUGUGCCUUUCUACUUUUACUAAUGGUGUUUUGAUUAUUUUUAACUUUUAAUUUGAUUAUUUUGAAUAUUUAAGAUUUGUAAAAUACAAACAGAUACAAUUUAUAAAUAUUAUGUUUUUUUCAUCUUAACAAAAUAUUACUUACGACUCCACCAUAAAAUCAACACUCUAUUUAUCUACCACUUGUAGAGCAAGUUGUUCAUUUCUUUGGUCCAUACAUAAUUGCAAUCCGUAUAUGUAUCCCCUCACACCUCUAAUUAUUUAUGCAUUCAAAUCUUAUUAUAAAUAGAGCCCAAAAAUGCAUUAGUUUCUUCAUCCCUCAAUUUUCAUAUUUCAUAAGUACUAAGUUUUGAACAAAAGAAAAAUUAAAAAGAAUGGGUUCCAAGGCAAUUAUGUUUCUUGGUCUUUUUUUGGCUAUUUUCUUAAUGAUAAGCUCUGAGGUUGCAGCUAGGGAGUUGGCAGCUGAGACUUCCAAUGGUAAGCAUUUCUUUUCAUUUGUUCCCUCUCUUAGGGUGUGUUCGAUAAAAAAAAAAUGUUUUCAUGAAAAAUAUUUUGUAAGAAAAUAUAAGUGACUUCUUUAUUUACUUUGUUGUGUUUAAUAUUGUGAUAUAAUCUAGAUAAAUAUAUAAUUGGUGGGGUUGGAUGAUGACGGUGGGAUGAGGAUGGGGGAAGAUAAAUAUGUUUGAUCAUAAAAUUUGUCUACUUUUUGAAAAUUAUUGGAAACGAAAUCCCAAAAUUUCAAUUAAUAAUGCUAUAGUUUGAUCAUGACACUAAAUAUACAUUCCUUUUGUUUCAUUUUAUAUGUCUCAAUUACUAUGCAUAAAGUUUAAGAAUAUACCAUAAACUUUCCAAUCUUUGCUAAACUAAACUAAAGGCGUGUAAAUUAUAUUAUAAAUGUCCUAUGAAUUUUGUGAUCUUAUGUUACAUUGGAAUUAAAAAAAUUAAUUACAAUUAAAUAUAUAUAGUUAAUGGAGUACUCAUUUUGAAAUAUAAUAAAAAGGAAAGUACGACAUAUAAAUUGAAGCUCAAUUCAGAGACUAGUCAUAACUCAUCGUACGUGUUAGCUAGUUUAAUUAAUCUUCACAAUUCAUCGAUGCAGCGGUAAACGUUGAUGGACAUUAUUAUGGCGGUGGCUAUCACGAGGGCUAUGGAAAACCUAAGAAAUGUCAUAGUUGCUGCAAAAAAUACAAUAUGGAUGCAUAAAAUACUGCUGCUCUUAUGAAGAAUAUGUGGCUGCCCAGACUCACAACUAAAUAAUUAAUUGUGUGUAUUAUUAUUGUAAACUUUUGAAAUUAAGUGACAAGAUAAUAAUAAUCUUGUUACUUAAGACCCUUUGCUUGUAACAAGUAUGAAUAAAGCCAUUCAUUUACUAUGAAUGGUUGGUCAUGAUGUAAUGUUUUGUUGUACAAUAUAUCAUAUUGUGUUAAAAAAUGUUUCCCUAAUGUUAAGAUUUUCUUCUUAUUUUUACUUUAAGUAUUAUAUUCUAUCAUCCUUUAAUCAUAUAUUUCAGGAUUGAAUCCUGAUCCGAAUAUAGAAUUGUCUUUGUUACAUAGUGUUUUACUUGAUCUGAAUUUUUUAACGUGAAUCCAAUUUAUUUAAGGCAUCUCUAAGGAUAUUGAACAUCGAGGGGAAAAUUUAAAAUAUUUAAUUUUCUUGUUAUUUAAUAAAGUAAGGAAAACAAUGCAGAAAAAAGAAACAAUUUGUUCUUUUCUUUGUCUAAUAUUUUUUAAAAGUAUAAUCACAGAAGAAAUAAAAUUAAAGCAUGGGGGACAAAAGACUAAUAAUGUCAAAUCAUCACUUAUUUUUUGAUUUCUAAUGAACACUCUAGUCAGGGCUGAAAUCGAAAUUUUAUGAAAACAUCACAAUAUAAACAAAAAUAAACACAUGAGUAAAUUUUAAUGAUUCAAUAUAUGAUACAAUGUAGUAACUUUUUUCGACGAAGGAGAGUCAAUUAACACUCUUAGAUAAGGAUGGUUACAUCAUUAAUAUUCACGAUCACCAUUAGGGGCGGAUUUACCUUAAGCUCGCAAUGCCAUCUAGCUAUUAGUCAUGCAUGGAAAAUAAAUUUUCUUAUGCACAUGAUCAACUAAAUAAAUAUCGUAUUAUUUAGAAAAGAUUUAUAUAUAUAUAUGCAACAUCAACCAAAUAACUCACAAUCUCACAUGAUUAUUAAUCAGGGAAAAGAUUAAAUAAUUUUCGUCAUGUUGUGCAAAAAUAUAUAUUUCUAAUCUUAUUAAUAUUAGGUUAGGGGGGGAAACCGUUUUUUUGGGUUAUUUAUUAUUUCUAUCUAUAUUUUGUGUAUAUAUAUAAAAAAAAAUUAGCAUAAAAUAUAAACGUAUCCUUUAAUUUGGUCUCAACUGACAUCUAGCCCUCCAACUUUGGAUGUGCACAAGUAGAGACUUAAACUUGUAUAGAGUUGAACAAGUAGACACACUAAUCCUACAUGACAUAAUACGUGUAGGACCGCAUGUACGACACAAAUUAUCAUGUAGAACAUGUGUGUUUACUUAUUCUAUUAUAUAUAAAGUUAAGUGUUUACCAUUAGUACACAUUCAAAAUUAAAGGUUAUAAAUAUCGGUUAAGGUCAAAAUAAAAUAAUAUUUUCAUGUAUUAUACUUGUUUUUUUAGUAAGACUUUUCUUGAGUUAUAAAGCAAAUGAAGAGAGUUGGCCCCUCUUAUUUAACUUGAUACGUUGUACAUUAAAUACGUCAUUUAAAGUCUUUGAGUAUUGACCAAAUCCAAGAGUAUAUAUACACCACUAUUUCUAGAUAUUUUAGGAUAAGGUAGUCCUACAUGUUAGCAUAUUUUAAAUUACUUUUUUGCAUAACUGUCCAAAAAUAUACUAUUAACACGACGAUUUAUUAUCGAAAUAUAUAAUACCCAUCACAUGCAUAUUAUUUUUUAAAGUUAUUUUAAUGUUGUUUGAUUAUCUACUAAGUAUUAAUCUUUGUUUUUAGUUUGUUUUGUCGGACGGUGUACGUAAGCCACUUGGUCAUAUUGAUGUGAUAUAUUUACAAAUAUCUUUUCGAAAAAAUAAGUAAAUUUUUAUCUAUUCUUAUUUUUUUUAUAGGGAAAAAAGACUGAAAUAUAUACAAACUUUGGCCAUUCUACUUUUAAUAAUGGUGUUAUAGUAUUAACGUAUGUACUUGUGCCUCUCUACUUUUACUAAUGGUGUUUCGAUAUUUUUAACUUUUAAUUUGAUUAUUUUGAAUAUUUAAGAUUUGUAAAAUACAAACAAAUACAAUUUAUAAAUAUUAUGUUUUUUUCAUCUUAACAAAAUAUUACUUACGACUCCACCAUAAAAUCAACACUCUAUUUAUCUGCCACUUGUAGAGCAAGCUCAUUUCUUUGGUCCAUAAAAUAAUUGCAAUCCGUACAUGUGUCCCCUCACACCUCUAAUUAUUUAUGCAUUCAAAUCUUAUUAUAAAUGAGCCCAAACAUGCAUUAGUUUCUUCAUCCCUCAAUUUUCAUAUUUCAUAAGUACUAAGUUUUGAACAAAAGAAAAAUUAAAAAGAAUGGGUUCCAAGGCAAUUAUGUUUCUUGGUAUUUUUUUGGCUAUUUUCUUAAUGAUAAGCUCUGAGGUUGCAGCUAGGGAGUUGGCAGCUGAGACUUCCAAUGGUAAGCAUUUCUUCUCAUUUGUUCCCUCUCUUAGGGUGUGUUCGAUAAAAAAAAAUGUUUUUCAUGAAAUAUAUUUUGUAAGAAAAUAUGAAUGACUUCUUUAUUUACUUUUUUGUGUUCAAUAUUGUGAUAUAAUCUAGACAGAUAUAUAAUUGGUGGGGUUGGAUGGUGAGGGUGUGGGGAUGAGGAUGGGGGCGAAGAUAAAUAUGUUUGGUCAUAAAAUUUGUCUACUUUUUAAAAAUUAUUGGAAACCAAAUCCAAAAAUUUCAAUCACUAAUGCUAUAGUUUGAUCAUGACAUUUAAUAUACAUUCCUUUUGUUUCAUUUAAUAUAUGUCUCAAUUACAAGGCAUAAACCUUCCAAUCUUUGCUAAACUAAACUAAAGGUGUGUAAAUUAUAUUAUAAAUGUCCUACGAAUUUUGUGAUCUUUUGUUACAUUGAACUUAAAAAAUAUACAAUUAAAUAUAUAUAGGAAAAGGAGUACUCAUUUUGAAAUAUAAUAAAAAGGAAAGUACGACAUAUAAAUUGAAGCUCAAUUCAGAGACUAGUCAUGACUCAUCGUAUGUGUAAGCUAGUUUAAUUAAUCUUCACAAUUCAUCGAUGUAGCGGUCAACGUUGAUGGACAUUAUCAUGGUGGCGGCUAUGGUAAGGGCUAUGGAAAACCUAAAAAAUGUUAUAGUUGCUGCAAGAAAACCAAAUAUGGAUGCAAAAAAUACUGCUGCUCUUAUGAAGAAUAUGUGGCUGCCCAGACUCACAACUAAAUAAUUAAUUGUGUGUAUUAUUAUUGUAAACUUUUGAAAUUAAGUGACAAGAUAAUAAUAAUCUUGCUACUUAAGACCCUUUGCUUGUAACAAGUAUGAAUAAAGCCAUUCAUUUACUAUGAAUGGUUGGUCAUGAUGUAAUGUUUUGUUGUACAAUAUAUCAUAUUGUGUUAAAAAUGUUUCCCUAAUGUUAAGAUUUCCUUCUUAUUUUUACUUAAGUAUUCUAUCAUCCUUUAAUCAUAUGUUUCAGGAUUGAAUCCUGAUCCGAAUAUAAAAUCGUCUUUAUUACAUAGCUUUUACUCGAUCUGAAUUUUUUACCGUGAAUCCAAUUUAUUUAAGGCAUCUCUAAUUAAGGAUAUUGAACAUUGAGGGGAAAAAUUUAAAAUAUUUAAUUUUCU
This 9762-nucleotide long non-coding RNA is filed under the name Solanum tuberosum (potato). Its description in RNAcentral is "long non-coding RNA (STUB_LNC009483)". The record is from RNAcentral. Lineage: Eukaryota; Viridiplantae; Streptophyta; Magnoliopsida; Solanales; Solanaceae.